RNAcentral lists this ribosomal RNA (639 nucleotides) under Streptococcus pseudopneumoniae. RNAcentral describes it as "bacterial SSU rRNA". It matches the Rfam family "Bacterial small subunit ribosomal RNA", at positions 76 to 702 of the family's 1533-position model. Lineage: Bacteria; Bacillati; Bacillota; Bacilli; Lactobacillales; Streptococcaceae. The record is from RNAcentral.
GAGCUUGCUUCUCUGGAUGAGUUGCGAACGGGUGAGUAACGCGUAGGUAACCUGCCUGGUAGCGGGGGAUAACUAUUGGAAACGAUAGCUAAUACCGCAUAAGAGUAGAUGUUGCAUGACAUUUGCUUAAAAGGUGCAAUUGCAUCACUACCAGAUGGACCUGCGUUGUAUUAGCUAGUUGGUGGGGUAACGGCUCACCAAGGCGACGAUACAUAGCCGACCUGAGAGGGUGAUCGGCCACACUGGGACUGAGACACGGCCCAGACUCCUACGGGAGGCAGCAGUAGGGAAUCUUCGGCAAUGGACGGAAGUCUGACCGAGCAACGCCGCGUGAGUGAAGAAGGUUUUCGGAUCGUAAAGCUCUGUUGUAAGAGAAGAACGAGUGUGAGAGUGGAAAGUUCACACUGUGACGGUAUCUUACCAGAAAGGGACGGCUAACUACGUGCCAGCAGCCGCGGUAAUACGUAGGUCCCGAGCGUUGUCCGGAUUUAUUGGGCGUAAAGCGAGCGCAGGCGGUUAGAUAAGUCUGAAGUUAAAGGCUGUGGCUUAACCAUAGUACGCUUUGGAAACUGUUUAACUUGAGUGCAAGAGGGGAGAGUGGAAUUCCAUGUGUAGCGGUGAAAUGCGUAGAUAUAUGGA